RNAcentral lists this long non-coding RNA (4920 nucleotides) under Sorghum bicolor (sorghum). RNAcentral describes it as "long non-coding RNA (SBIC_LNC009612)". Lineage: Eukaryota; Viridiplantae; Streptophyta; Magnoliopsida; Poales; Poaceae. The record is from RNAcentral.
ACUGCUGCAAUAGGGCCGAUGGUUGUUGGAUGAACAAGGGUGAUGACUGUAAGAUGCUUGCUGCGAUUGCCUGUUGGAGCCCAUAGGGUUGUAGCAUUGGGUUUGCGCACACUGGUGGGAGGUAUGCGGGAUGAGGGGCAGCUAUAGAAAUUUGUGAGCAGUGCGGUUGCGGGAUAUAGGUCGCGGUAGCAGCACUUGCAAAAAGAGCAAGGAGCAUAAUGAGGGAAAAUAUCUUGGCCGCCAUUGUUGCUAUGUUGCUAGUGUAUUCCACUUUCUAUGUUGCUAGUUGGUCUCAAUAAUAUGGGUGAUGGAUUACCUACUGAUCUGGGGGGUAUUUAUACUCAUGUUAAGCCUUGUGGUUGUGCAAGAUUUAUUUUGGCUUUUACCAAAAAACAUAAUAGUAAGAUAAGCUAGAGAUGACGUGGUAUCUAGUUGGUUUUGACAUUUAGUUGCCACUUUGUUGGGUUAUACUUUAUACAUCUGCAAUACAAUCUCCACAAAAUACACUAAAUAAGUGGUUUUGUCCUCUUGGUAUUUUCCAAAUACUUGGGUGACAAUGGCUCGAUCCAUUCACCUUUACACAUGUGUAGCCUUAGCCACAUAUGUGCGGCUUGGUUAGGCUAUUUUGCACCAGAAAAAAAAUUCAUGGUGGUAUUCACCAAUGUUAAUUUGCAUUUGGUUAUUUUGUGCUAUAAUCGGUUCAAGGAGUCACUCGUUCCAUGUCGUACAAUGCGGUUACCACCCAUAACCUACCACAAAUGGAUCAUGUCAACGGCAGUGUUACCUCACAAGAACCAAACAAUCAAAGUAUUUGGGGAACAACAAUAUUCAUUUCCAUUUCACUUUUAUUGACACUCCACUAACCAAACAACACCAUAAUAUCUAUUCCACUUGAUUAUAGUCAAUACCUAAAGAUUGACAAAUACCUAAGUCAUUUUCAACUAACACUAUUACAGAAAGAUCAGCACAACCAGUUUGGAAACCUGCAUCGCCGCCACUUCCAGCACUCGGCAGUGAAUUAUCGACAGUGAUGGCCAUGGUAAUCAUGUCCAGUUAGUAAUUAGUGGUGGUUAUAUGCUAUCACCACCAUUUUGGAGUUCAAUCUAGCUGCGAUAACAUCAAUAUCAUCGCUGAGUUUAUUUUUUGUUCAGGCGUUGAAGAUCCUACAAAUGUUGUCGGGUUUAUAACAAAAUCCAACAAUGAUGGUCAUUUGGUCACCAUCGGUCAGUUGUACACACCGGCAAUGUUGAGAGUUCCUACACCACUGAUCAGUGCUGCAGUCUAUAUAUGACAAGCGUUGAUCACCACAGGUCAGUGGUCACUGUCGGCAGUGAUGAUCAAUUGAUCGACAUCUGUUCAAUUCAUACCCGAUGAUGAUCACUACUACAUCACCAAUGGUAGCUUGAGCUGGUGUCGAUGGCCUUCAUUGAUGGAAUGAUAUUGCAUCUGUGUUUUCACAUUUAUGAAAAAUUCUACUUAAUUAACUCCCUCAACUAUUGUGUGUUAUAUAUCGUGCAGUGUUUGAAGCAACCUUGAUAGGGAGUGCUAUAUGUCUAUUUAUGUUUUAACUUUGUAUGAAUUUUAAGACCCCUAAUUUAUGUUAGGAUAACCAUGUCAUAUAUAAUAUAUAAGUUAACAUUGGUUAUAAUAUGAUAGUGUACAAUAUAAUUAAACUUGUGUCAAAUUAAAUUUGAAAAUACAACAUUGAUAGACUUUUUUCUUCCACUGCAAAGCAAAGGAAUACUUAGAUGUAAAUAUAUCGUAACUAUAAAAAAUGUAUUGUCAGUUAUGAGAUUUGCAUCAAGUAUAGAGGGUCUUGAGUAAUGCUAAUACUAAUAUUAGUAUUAGUUAUAGAUAUAGACAAAUUAAUAAUAAUUAAUUAUAUUAAUUAUUACAUACAGGUUAGAUCCAAAUUUUAUCCUGUUGACGCCAUUUUUGGUAACGAGUCAAGGUAAUCAAAAUGGACCUAUUGGCAGUAAAGAGAUUAUUGCAUUAUGCCGAUAGGAGAGGUGCCGAUGAAGAUCGGCUGAUAGAGAUUGUUGCCGAUGGAAGGUCAUGAUCGGUGGAAAGGUUGUCUUUUAAAUUGAAUUAAAGAGUGUUGAUCAGAGAUGGUGUUUGCCAAUGUCGAUUCAGGGGUCAUUGCCGAUGAAGCCUGUAAUGAUUCAUUGCCGAUGUCGAUGAAGGAGGACAUGAAGACUGCUGCUGAUGAAGCUUGAAAUAACAGGGAACAUGCCGAUGGAGCAGGAGCCGAUGGAGAUUUCAUCGUGAUUGAGGCGGACACGAGAGUAGAUAGAUGUUAUUUUCUAUUUUUUAUAUUUGUUAGGGUAUACCUUACGUAAGAAUCCUGUUUUAUCUUAAAGUCGGAUCCUAGUCGUGUUUGGUUGUAUCUCUUUAGGACAGGGUAUAAAUAUAGACCAGAGGGCAAUGUAAUGAGACAAUCAAUCAAUAUCAAAUCCAAGUUUACUCCUACUUUUGCAUGUACUUACUUUUCGACGACUUCGUCAAUUCACAUAUUUUCUUUUUACGAGUUCUCUUGGUUCGGCGAGUUGCAUUGUUCUAGCGCAAAUCUCGACGAUCCUCGAGUUCCGUGUGAGUACCUCUUGACCGUGACUUUCGGGCGCAUCACUGUUGUCGGGACCAAAGUACUUGAGUUAGACCAAAGUACUUGAGUUAUCAUCCUUAUCGAUUAACAGGUCAAAUCGACUGACACGUCUAGGAUAUCGGAUUGGGUUUUGUGUUUGCAGAUUCACUUUUGCAUCAACAGAUCCCAUUUUCUUCCACAUGUUUUGCAAUCCAUCUUCGGUCUUUUUUCGAUCAUACUUUGGUUGUCAGCAGGACGUGAGUUCGAGUCAUACACGGGAUAAUUAAACCAAUUAUAACUCUAAUCUCUAGUAUAGUUAAACCAACUAGGACUAGUAUAUUCUGAAAAGUGGAAGGACACACAAUAGGAAGAGAAUGUGACAGACGACCAAAAUUUUGUAGAAAACUUUUUCACUCCUUAUAUUAGAUCUCUGUUCCAAACGCUAUGCUAUAAGGUUGGCUCGGGAAUGUAAUCUCCUAGUCUUGUAGGUAGAUUUGUGGCAUGGUGGACACUGCCCCAUAGAGCCCCCACGGCCCACAGAACACAGACACCAGCUUGCCGCAUUCUAUUAAGAUUCCUUGACGCUCGGGAGUAGACAUAGUACAUGAUUAGACCUUAAUAUUCUCACCAAUGUUAAUUUCUGUUUGCUUAAUUUGUGCUAUAGUCAGUUGAAGGAGUCACUCGUUCCUGUGCCAUUCGUUCCUAUGCCAUACAAUGCGAUUACCACCUGCAACCUACCACAAAUGGAUCAUGUCGACGGUAAUGUUAACUCACAAGAACAAAACAAUCAAAGUAUUUCUAAAAAUGGUGAGUUAUUUUACAUCAAAGGUCUGCACUGGAGAGCAAUAAGUGCACCUUAUUGUUGGAAAAAAAGUUCCAUCUACUUGCAUGAAUGCUGUUCUCACAUGUACUAUAAUAGAAUUACAUAUUAGUGGCCAAUGAUCAAUUUAGGCAUUGGUCUUUGUAUGUGCACAAUUCCCAUAAUUCUAUCUACAUGAGCAGUUGUCAUACAAAUUAAGUCAGGUUAAUUUUUCUAAUGCUGAUGAAUUUAAAGUUUUUUAUAUUUCCAUGAUAGAAAUAGUGUUUUUGAUACUUUUUUCUAUAAUUCAAAGCCAAUAUUACAAUUAAGAUUACCAUCAAUCCCACUAUGCACAUUCGGAAUGGCUAGUCCCACAUAACACAGUAUGCAUUUUUGCAAGAUUAUACCAACAUGAUGAUGUUUAUGUGUGGUAAUGCUCAAUUAAUCAAGCAUCACACUAUAAGGUUGAUUUAUAUCUCCUUACUCUCAAUCUUAGUGCAAAAUAAUUAUCGAACACACCAGGAGACAAGUAAGACAUUAGAAUACGGAAGCAUAAUUUAUUAUUUCUGAGAAGCCUCAGACAUGAUAGCCUAAAAACUUCAUUAUUGAACUACAACUAGUAAGAAAUCUAAAAGAGGGCACCACCAAUGAAGGGCUGUUGGCAGGACGUUGCUGGGUUCGCCAGAGCAAGCUGGAUGAAUGGCAGCAACUGUUGUUGCUGAAAGAGGGUGGCGGCAUUAGCCACACCCUGCGGGUAGAAUCGCAGUAGCUGUUGUUGUGGCCAGAAGGUGGCAGGACUCACAGCACCUAGCCGGCUGAAUUGUAGUAGUUGUUGCAGCUGCAAAUAAGCAGCAGGGUUCACUGCAGCCAGUUGGUUGAAUGAGAGCAACUGUUGUAGUUGUAAGAGGGUGGCGGCGUUAGCCACACCCUGCGGGUAGAACGGCAACAGCUGUUGUUGUGGCCAGAAGGCGGCAGGGCUCGCAGCAGCUAGCUGGCUGAAUUGUUGUAGUUGUUGCAGCUGCAAAUAGGCAGCGGGGUUCACUGCAGCCAGUUGGCUGAAUGGAAUAAACUGCUGUUGCUGGGAGUACGCAGCAAGGUUUGCCACCGUUACUUGGUGGAUCGAAGGUAGCACCAGUUGCUGCAGUUGUUGUGCCCUGAUGCUUUGUGCCAACAAAUUCACCAAGGACAACUGCUGCAAUAGGGCCGAUGGUUGUUGGAUGAACAAGGGUGAUGACUGUAAGAUGCUUGCUGCGAUUGCCUGUUGGAGCCCAUAGGGUUGUAGCAUUGGGUUUGCGCACACUGGUGGGAGGUAUGCGGGAUGAGGGGCAGCUAUAGAAAUUUGUGAGCAGUGCGGUUGCGGGAUAUAGGUCGCGGUAGCAGCACUUGCAAAAAGAGCAAGGAGCAUAACGAGGGAAAAUAUCUUGGCCGCCAUUGUUGCUAUGUUGCUAGUGUAUUCCACUUUCUAGGUUGCUAGUUGGUCUCAAUAAUAUGGGUGAUGGAUUACCUACUGAUCUGGGGGGUAUUUAUACUCAUGUUAAGC